This 495-nucleotide ribosomal RNA is filed under the name uncultured bacterium. Its description in RNAcentral is "partial 16S ribosomal RNA". It matches the Rfam family "Bacterial small subunit ribosomal RNA", at positions 28 to 507 of the family's 1533-position model. The record is from RNAcentral.
GACGAACGCUGGCGGCGUGCCUAAUACAUGCAAGUAGAACGCUGAAGGAGGAGCUUGCUUCUCUGGAUGAGUUGCGAACGGGUGGGUAACGCGUAGGUAACCUGCCUGGUAGCGGGGGAUAACUAUUGGAAACGAUAGCUAAUACCGCAUAAGAGUAGAUGUUGCAUGACAUUUGCUUAAAAGGUGCAAUUGCAUCACUACCAGAUGGACCUGCGUUGUAUUAGCUAGUUGGUGGGGUAACGGCUCACCAAGGCGACGAUACAUAGCCGACCUGAGAGGGUGAUCGGCCACACUGGGACUGAGACACGGCCCAGACUCCUACGGGAGGCAGCAGUAGGGAAUCUUCGGCAAUGGACGGAAGUCUGACCGAGCAACGCCGCGUGAGUGAAGAAGGUUUUCGGAUCGUAAAGCUCUGUUGUAAGAGAAGAACGAGUGUGAGAGUGGAAAGUUCACACUGUGACGGUAUCUUACCAGAAAGGGACGGCUAACUACGUG